RNAcentral lists this ribosomal RNA (669 nucleotides) under uncultured bacterium. RNAcentral describes it as "bacterial SSU rRNA". It matches the Rfam family "Bacterial small subunit ribosomal RNA", at positions 56 to 719 of the family's 1533-position model. The record is from RNAcentral.
UGCAAGUCGAGCGGAGAUGAGGUGCUUGCACCUUAUCUUAGCGGCGGACGGGUGAGUAAUGCUUAGGAAUCUGCCUAUUAGUGGGGGACAACAUUCCGAAAGGAAUGCUAAUACCGCAUACGUCCUACGGGAGAAAGCAGGGGAUCUUCGGACCUUGCGCUAAUAGAUGAGCCUAAGUCGGAUUAGCUAGUUGGUGGGGUAAAGGCCUACCAAGGCGACGAUCUGUAGCGGGUCUGAGAGGAUGAUCCGCCACACUGGGACUGAGACACGGCCCAGACUCCUACGGGAGGCAGCAGUGGGGAAUAUUGGACAAUGGGGGGAACCCUGAUCCAGCCAUGCCGCGUGUGUGAAGAAGGCCUUAUGGUUGUAAAGCACUUUAAGCGAGGAGGAGGCUACUGAGACUAAUACUCUUGGAUAGUGGACGUUACUCGCAGAAUAAGCACCGGCUAACUCUGUGCCAGCAGCCGCGGUAAUACAGAGGGUGCGAGCGUUAAUCGGAUUUACUGGGCGUAAAGCGUGCGUAGGCGGCUUUUUAAGUCGGAUGUGAAAUCCCCGAGCUUAACUUGGGAAUUGCAUACGAUACUGGGAAGCUAGAGUAUGGGAGAGGAUGGUAGAAUUCCAGGUGUAGCGGUGAAAUGCGUAGAGAUGUGGAGGAAUACCGAUGGCGAA